This 451-nucleotide ribosomal RNA is filed under the name uncultured bacterium. RNAcentral describes it as "partial 16S ribosomal RNA". It matches the Rfam family "Bacterial small subunit ribosomal RNA", at positions 354 to 796 of the family's 1533-position model. The record is from RNAcentral.
GUGGGGAAUAUUGGACAAUGGGGGGAACCCUGAUCCAGCCAUGCCGCGUGUGUGAAGAAGGCCUUUUGGUUGUAAAGCACUUUAAGCGAGGAGGAGGCUACCGAGAUUAAUACUCUUGGAUAGUGGACGUUACUCGCAGAAUAAGCACCGGCUAACUCUGUGCCAGCAGCCGCGGUAAUACAGAGGGUGCAAGCGUUAAUCGGAUUUACUGGGUGUAAAGCGCGCGUAGGUGGCCAAUUAAGUCAAAUGUGAAAUCCCCGAGCUUAACUUGGGAAUUGCAUUCGAUACUGGGUGGAUAGAGUAUGGGGGAGGAUGGUAGAAUUCCAGGUGUAGCGGUGAAAUGCGUAGAGAUCUGGAGGAAUACCGAUGGCGAAGGCAGCCAUCUGGCCUAAUACUGACACUGAGGUGCGAAAGCAUGGGGAGCAAACAGGAUUAGAAACCCUAGUAGUCC